ACUCCUACGGGAGGCAGCAGUGGGGAAUAUUGCACAAUGGAGGAAACUCUGAUGCAGCAACGCCGCGUGGAGGAUGACACUUUCGGAGCGUAAACUCCUUUAUAUAGGAAGAUAAUGACGGUACUAUAUGAAUAAGCACCGGCUAACUCCGUGCCAGCAGCCGCGGUAAUACGGAGGUGCAAGCGUUACUCGGAAUCACUGGGCGUAAAGAGCGUGUAGGCGGGUUAUUAAGUCAGAAGUGAAAUCCUAUGGCUCAACCAUAGAACUGCUUUGAAACUGGUAACCUAGAGUAUGGGAGAGGUAGAUGGAAUUUCUGGUGUAGGGUAAAUCCGUAGAGAUCAGAAGGAAUACCGAUUGCGAAGGCGAUCUACUGGAACAUUACUGACGCUGAGACGCGAAAGCGUGGGGAGCAAACAGGAUUAGAUACCC
This 429-nucleotide ribosomal RNA is filed under the name uncultured bacterium. RNAcentral's name for it is "bacterial SSU rRNA". It matches the Rfam family "Bacterial small subunit ribosomal RNA", at positions 335 to 787 of the family's 1533-position model. The record is from RNAcentral.